GUUGUUGCGGUUAAAAAGCUCGUAGUUGAAAUUGUGUCCUGCGGCGUCGGUCUACCGAUUGCGGUACGACAGGCGCGUCAGCGGGGCUUCUCGCCGGUGCGUGUCUUCCGCCGGCACGUCGUCGUCGGUCCUCACGGGCAGGCGGCGCGUCGAGGCGGGCCCUCGCGGCUGUUUACUUUGAACAAAUUAGAGUGCUCAAAGCGGGCUUACAUUUGCCUGAAUAUUGUGCGCAUGGAAUAAUAGAAUAGGACCUCGGUUCUGUUUUGUUGGCUUUCUGAUACCAGAGGUAAUGAUUAAUAGGGACAACUGGGGGCAUUCGUAUUGCGACGUUAGAGGUGAAAUUCUUGGAUCGUCGCAAGACGGACUAAAGCGAAAGCAUUUGCCAAAGGUGUUUUCAUUAAUCAAGAACGAAAGUUAGAGGUUCAAGGCGAUUAGAUACCGCUGUAGUUCUAACCAUAAAUGAUGCCAGCCAGCGAUCCGCCGAAGUUUUUUACGUUGAUUCGGUGGGCAGCUCCCGGGAAACCAAAGCUUUC
Molecule: ribosomal RNA, 533 nt
Filed under: Parapsyche elsis
Lineage: Eukaryota; Metazoa; Arthropoda; Insecta; Trichoptera; Hydropsychidae
Description: SSU rRNA
Rfam family: Eukaryotic small subunit ribosomal RNA
Source: RNAcentral